UAAUACCUGAUAAGCCCACGGAGUCCUUGGACACUGCGGGAAAAGGAGGGGACCUUCGGGCCUUCCGUCAUCAGAUGAGUCUGCGUACCAUUAGCUAGUUGGUAGGGUAAAGGCCUACCAAGGCGACGAUGGUUAGCUGGCCUGAGAGGAUGAUCAGCCACACUGGAACUGAGACACGGUCCAGACUCCUACGGGAGGCAGCAGUGGGGAAUUUUGCGCAAUGGGGGAAACCCUGACGCAGCAACGCCGCGUGAGUGAUGAAGGCCUUCGGGUCGUAAAGCUCUGUCAGAGGGAAAGAAGUGUAUUAUGGUUAAUACCCAUGAUACUUGACGGUACCCCUAAAGGAAGCACCGGCUAACUCCGUGCCAGCAGCCGCGGUAAUACGGAGGGUGCGAGCGUUGUUCGGAAUUAUUGGGCGUAAAGCGCGUGUAGGCGGUUUGUUAAGUCUGAUGUGAAAGCCCCGGGCUCAACCUGGGAAGUGCAUUGGAAACUGGCAGACUUGAAUACGGGAGAGGGUAGUGGAAUUCCUGGUGUAGGAGUGAAAUCCGUGGAUAUCAGGAGGAACACCGGUGGCGAAGGCGGCUACCUGGACCGAUAUUGACGCUGAGACGCGAAAGCGUGGGUAGCAAACAGGAUUAGAUACCCUGGUAGUCCACGCCGUAAACGAUGAGUACUAGGUGUCGCGGGUA
This 689-nucleotide ribosomal RNA is filed under the name uncultured Geobacter sp. RNAcentral's name for it is "bacterial SSU rRNA". It matches the Rfam family "Bacterial small subunit ribosomal RNA", at positions 164 to 831 of the family's 1533-position model. The record is from RNAcentral. Lineage: Bacteria; Pseudomonadati; Thermodesulfobacteriota; Desulfuromonadia; Geobacterales; Geobacteraceae.